AUUGAACGCUGGCGGCAUGCUUUACACAUGCAAGUCGAACGGCAGCGCGGGCUUCGGCCUGGCGGCGAGUGGCGAACGGGUGAGUAAUACAUCGGAACGUGCCCAGUAGUGGGGGAUAGCUCGGCGAUAGCCGGAUUAAUACCGCAUACGACCUGAGGGUGAAAGCGGGGGAUCUUCGGACCUCGCGCUAUUGGAGCGGCCGAUGGCAGAUUAGCUAGUUGGUGGGGUAAAGGCCUACCAAGGCGACGAUCUGUAGCUGGUCUGAGAGGACGACCAGCCACACUGGGACUGAGACACGGCCCAGACUCCUACGGGAGGCAGCAGUGGGGAAUUUUGGACAAUGGGCGAAAGCCUGAUCCAGCAAUGCCGCGUGUGUGAUGAAGGCCUUCGGGUUGUAAAGCACUUUUGGCGGGAACGAAAAGGACUGUGCCAAUACCACGGUUCGAUGACGGUACCCGCAGAAUAAGCACCGGCUAACUACGUG
RNAcentral lists this ribosomal RNA (484 nucleotides) under uncultured bacterium. RNAcentral's name for it is "partial 16S ribosomal RNA". It matches the Rfam family "Bacterial small subunit ribosomal RNA", at positions 29 to 507 of the family's 1533-position model. The record is from RNAcentral.